Long non-coding RNA from Diabrotica virgifera virgifera (western corn rootworm), 880 nucleotides. RefSeq lists it as uncharacterized. The record is from RefSeq and is a predicted model, not a curated record. Lineage: Eukaryota; Metazoa; Arthropoda; Insecta; Coleoptera; Chrysomelidae. The transcript is spliced from 3 exons.
UCUACAGGUCGAGCAAGUCUCGUAAAUUUCACGAUUGCGAGCCACGCUUCACGCAACCGUGUUUGCGUACUUGUGUUUCGAGUUGCGUGGUCGUGCGGAGUUAUAUUUACCAAAUUUAAAUGUAAUCGUUUCUACUGAUAAUAAUAUACUAUUCUCAAUAUGGCUACUGGGUGUAAAAGAUAAAUCUUAUUCUAUCUGUUCUUCAUGAGUUUUAGAUAAUUUUAGUUGUAUUUCUUUGUAAUUUUGUGUUGUACAAAGAUUAAUUUAACAUUUUCUCUGGAAGUAUUAAUUUAGAAAGAUAAUAUGCUUCAUUGGUGUUGUGUUUUGAAGUGUGAAAUGCAAAGUAAUUGUGAUAAAGUCAAGAUAAAGUUCACUUUUAAACUGAACUAAAUAAGGUAUCUGAGAGACAACAAUGGUUAAAUGCAAUACAAGGUACAGGUUUUACUAGCGAAAUGAAAAUUUUCCUGUCCUGUCUGCUGUAAUCAUUUUAUAUCUGGAAAAUAGGAAAACCAGCCGACUUAAUCGAUAAUAACAAUCUCCAGAUUGGGUUCCUUCAUUAAAUAUGGGCUAUAAACACAAUGAAAUAAGUUCCCCAAAAUCUAAAAUGGAGUGCUAUCAAAGGAGAAUUAAAGGAAAAAAUAUUCAUAUUGAAAUUAUUUAUAAGGCACUGGACUGUCUUAAAUUCUACAAUAAUACUAGAAUCAGCUGAGAGAAGUGGUCUACAAAAAACCAGGAAGGAAACGGAAUAUGUGGCUACGAAAGGCAAAAGAAAGGUUUACAAAGCAAAUGUGACACAUUUUUUUGAAAUAUUUAGGAAUAUCAGUAAAUUGCAUUAAAAAAUGUAUGAAAAGAUUUUGUUCAAUAAAAAUGUUUAUAUUUA